UGGGUCCCCUCACAGCACCCACGGCCCCUGCUGCUUGCCAGAACACUUUUGGCUGCUUGUAGUGCAAAUAUUUUAGGAAUUGAGUUUGAUCCUUGGACCACCAGAGACCCUGGCAUCUGGGCUGCAUUUUUUUUCCACAGAGCUGUAGGGAAAGCAGGACAGGAAUGUUCCCAUGAGGGGGAAUCAAUGUCUGCCGGGCUGGGUCAGUGGUUCUAAACUGGUGUGGUUCUGCCCUGAAUGAAGUGUCACUGUGCUUUCCCACCUGUGUGGAUGGAACAGAACAUGAGCAGUUGGAGGUUUAGAGUCAGUCAGAAAAAUAAAAUGUGAAUUGUUUGUAAUUUCCUGUGGAAAAGCUUCAGACAUCUAACCUCAAGACAGAAGAAAAUGCAUUGUGUGUUAAUCAGGCAGAACAAGGGGAAUAGGAAAAUGGGAGCCUGGAUGCAAACACUUCACAAAUCUCAGUGAUCUGGAAAAUAAAAAUAUCAUGAGAAGGGGGAGUGUUCCCAAAGGUCUUUGUGGAUCAAUGUAAUGUUGAGCUAAAGGAAAUUACAGAGUGAAAAAGAAAUCCCACAGGAGAUAAUGAAGCAAGUAGGAAAGAAAAGAAAGGAAAAGGUACAAGAAGAAAGCAAAAACGUUGCAUAGAGAGCAAAUGCCUGCGUUUGGGGCAGCACUGAAUGUACAGGAAUCGGCCUUCCUGGAUCCUUUCCUCCUGGAUUGCCCGUGUCCCAUGGAAAAGAUCCAGCCCUGCCACCACUAGAGGACACCCUCGCAUUUAACAUAUGUAUCUUGCCUUACAUCAUCCCAGCCAGAGUUAAACAGGUGCUCUCUGGGGAGGGCUGAGAGAGGCGUGUCCAAAAGGGACUCAAAACACUCGAGGAGUAUUUUAAAAAAUGGAUUCGUACUUAAAGCUGAAGCCAUGUAUU
Vidua chalybeata is the source of this 923-nucleotide long non-coding RNA. RefSeq lists it as uncharacterized. The record is from RefSeq and is a predicted model, not a curated record. NCBI's taxonomy places the organism in Eukaryota, Metazoa, Chordata, Aves, Passeriformes, Viduidae. The transcript is spliced from 5 exons.